CUUUGUAUGUCUCAAUAUAAUGGUAUUAUUUAAUUAAAUCCAUUUACAAUAAUCUUUGUCUGAAAAUAAAAUAUGAUCCUCAACUGCGUUUCCCCUCCAGUCAGCAGACGGCGAUGUGCGUCUUUCAGGCGACGCUGCCAGCGUGACGUAUAAUCUAGUGGACGGUUCUUCAUAAACAGCUCGUCAACCACCUCGGUAGCAUGCUAGCCAACAUAGCCGAAAGAUUCAAGCUAUUUAUACGCUUUCGGUGUAUAUUACCUACUGUGUUUCAGCCACACUUCUGUCGUAUCAACUUGUUAACCUAUUUAAUUUAAUAUUACGUUAUUUUGUAUUAGUCAGCUAUAGUAGUUGGCUGGUUUAGUUAGUACUAGCCUAGUCGCUAAUGAUAGCUAGCUAGCUAACAUCCCCGAACAUGAGCUCCCUAAACAUCUCCCCUCUCGUUGAAGAAGAGGCAGUCUGCUGGACGGAGAAAGAAGCUUUGGGGCAGAACAUUGUCGUGAAAGAGGAGGAAGAAGAGGAGGAUGUCACAGUAAAACAAGAAGUAGAGGAUGGGGCUGUUACAGUGAAAGAAGAGGAAGACACGUUCAGAGUGAAAGAGGAGGAGGAUGUUACAGUAAAAGAAGAGACGGAUGAGAAAGAGGAGGAUGUAGUUUUAGGUGUGAAAGAAGAGGAGGUUGGAGAUCUGUUUAACACCAGUAAGUACCGUCUCUGCAGUCGUUGAACCAAUAUGCAGUAAAGGGGUUCUACACUUUAAUGUUGUUCUGUAGGAAUGGCUGAAGCUACACUGUAACGUGUAGAACAUCAAGAGUGGACCAUCAACAAAACGUUAACAAUUGAUCAAAUGCAUCCAAUGACAAUGCCUGAAAUACUGUAGUCCUCAAUAUCUCCUAUUAGAUUAGCCCAAUAUGUAGUCUUAAAGGGGCAAUCAGCAGUUGUUACAUCCAUUUUGGGACUUAUACAUUAAUGAUAUGUACCCAUUGUUUCUUGAAGAAAUCACUUAUAAAUGCCUCAUGAGCUUAGUUCAACUGUCGUACCCCAUCAGAACCCAAAAUAUAAGCUUUUUUUUACUCCAAUGUUUGUCAGUAAAUAUAAACAAACACGGUAUAUCCCCAAAACAUGGUUAACUAGAAUGUUGAUAUCAUGGAUGGUUGCAUUUCUCCAGCCCCAUCCCUCAGCUUUUUACCGAAACAGGCAGGGAGUACGCUUUGUUAUUGUUUCUACUGCUGAUUGCUGCCCCCGUUACUCCUCAAGGUCCAAGGACUGAAUGUUAUUUUCAGAGGUAGACUGGCUCUGGCAGCUAAAAUAGUCAAAUAUUCCAUCUAAAUGUGAAUCGAUUCUCAACGGGCAGGGAGUACGCUUUGUUAUUGUUUCUACUGCUGAUUCUCUGCCCCCGUUACUCCUCAAAAUAAUUUCACAUAAUACUUUCUUAUCACAUAACAAUUAUUUCACACAAUACUUUCAUAUCACAUCAAAAUAAUUUAAAAUACUUUAACAUCAAAAUAAUUUCACACAAUACUUUCAUAUCACAUCUAAAUAGGUAACCAGUCUGUAUAGAUAGAUAGCUAAGUGAAUUAAAUAUCAUCAGCUGUCUAACUUCAUAUUAGCUAGCUAUCUUGAUGUAUUUAUCACUGUAAAAAACAAACUCCAAAUGCUUUUGUAGGUAGCUAGCUACCAGCCAUGGAGGAGGGUGAAAGGAUAGCAGCCCCAACUGUCAGUGAGAGAGGAGGCUAUUCUGGAUAGGGCAGGUACUUUUGUGUAGUUCCUGUCACUAGAAGUGAGGACGGAGAUAAUAGUAACAUAAUAUUCAGUGUGGUGUAAUUUGACUAUAAUGAAGUGUGUUUCUUGUGAGGUUUUCUUUCCUCAGAUAAAGAGCGCUAUGAAAGCCAGUCUACAUAUGAAGAGGUCCCAGUGAAGAGCAGUGGUUCUCAGUCCUGGGGACUCAAAGAGGCACAUUGUUGUUUUUGCCUCAGCACUGCACAGCUGAUUCAAAUGAUCAACUUAUCAUCAAGCUUCAAGUGGUAUUUAUGUAGUCAUUUGUGAUGCCAUCCUUGAUAUGAUCCUGUUAUUGUCACAUGCUACACAUGUACAUAUAUGUGCCCAUGCAUCUAUCAAUCCAAUGUUAUCAUGAUUUGUUAUCAGGGAUAUUAUACUUUAGUAAUCCACAAUGACCUGGUGAUGUAAAAGUCUAAUAAUGACAUUGUCUUCCAUAUUCCUACAGAUACCUUGUAACUGGAGAUUCCUUCAAAACGAUUGCCUACAGUUACCGUGUAGGGCACUGCAAGGUUGGGUGACCAAGGUCAUCUGGGACUGCCUCCUGGAGGAAUUCAGGUGUGUGAAGGCUACCUGUGUCCUGCGUAACUUCAUGAGGAUGGACACGAGGACCAGGAGGGGAUCUGCAGCUCGCCACCGUGUCCCAGGGGAGGAGUCUGCUGCUCUGCAGGAUGUUUCAAGGAUGGGGUCCAACAACGCAGCAAGAGAGGCAAUCCGUGUGCAGGAGAUCUUCACCUCCUACUUCUUCAAAGAGGGUGCUGUUCCCUGGCAACACCAUAGACUACACUAUGCACAACCAAAGGCUCUUUUAACAGGGUGCUGUUCCCUGGCAACACCAUAGACUACACUAUGCACAACCAAAGGCUCUUUUAAGAGGGUGCUGUUCCCUGGCAACACCAUAGACUACACUAUGCACAACCAAAGGCUCUUUUAAGAGGGUGCUGUUCCCUGGCAACACCAUAGACUACACUAUGCACAACCAAAGGCUCUUUUAAGAGGGUGCUGUUCCCUGGCAACACCAUAGACUACACUAUGCACAACCAAAGGCUCUUUUAAGAGGGUGCUGUUCCCUGGCAACACCUUAGACUACACUAUGCACAACCAAAGGCUCUUUUAAGAAGGUGCUGUUCCCUGGCAACACCAUAGACUACACUAUGCACAACCAAAGGCUCUUUUAAGAGGGUGCUGUUCCCUAGCAACACCAUAGACUACACUAUGCACAACCAAAGGCUCUUUUAAGAGCUAUUCACAUUGCAAUAAGAGUAUUCUUCCAUUUACUUAGCUAUGUCAACUGCAGUUAUUCAAUUCACAGUUUCUCUCCCUUUGAUUUCUACUUCUCAGGUGAGGGUGCUGUUUAGGUGAGGGUGUGAUGUCUGUGCAAAAACAAAACAGGCUAUUUUAAAUCACUAAUAUUGAAGAAAUGUAGAACAAUUAGACAUCCUAUAACCCACACCUACACACUCAUGUAUCAAUCUGAUUGAUGGAUUGUGUUGUGCAGUAAGCAGGCUCAGGUGUAUAACUGUGGCUCCUUCCACCUUCAAAGAAUAGGCAAGAGGGCCAACCAUGGAGAAUAGUAAGACACUUCAUUAUUUCUAUAACUACGCUAUAUUGUUUGUCCUUGUGUGUCCGUUCAUGUUUUUCAGCAUAAAGUACUCUGCAGCCACUAAGUGUGGUGUGGACACCAGGUGAGGCCACACACAGAUUCCUAUUGAACACUGUGGCUUUAACUACCUUAUUUUCUCAAUAAGUCUCUAUCCUUCACUUCAUCCCUCUCUCCCCUUCUCCCUAAAUCCUCUAGGUUAUAUCAGCUGUGUCGGUGAACCCCUCCUGCAUCUGAACUGGCUACAUAGAGGGCACAGCAUGAUCAGAGAUAUGUUUUGAUGUGAGAGGAUGCCAACCCCCAGUCCCAUCAUCGCCACCUCACCUGCUUUUAAGAUAACCUUUGGGCCGACUAGAGACACUAUUAUGUAAUUGUGAUGAACUGAGAGAAUAUUUAGGUAGCACUGUGUUUCAUUAAUCAUGUGCUGCCUUCCCUGCUCCUAUGUGCUUACCUCUUUCCCUUUCUGUCUUUUACACCUCUCUCUCCAACUCCUCUUUCUUCCUCUGUUUUUAUAAUGCACAACAGAUGUGCAUUGAAGUACAGAUUGAACUUGUAUUUAUAACACUUGGAUAAUGAGCUUUUCAAUAAAGCGUUUCACAUUC
Molecule: long non-coding RNA, 3972 nt
Organism: Salvelinus fontinalis (brook trout)
Lineage: Eukaryota; Metazoa; Chordata; Actinopteri; Salmoniformes; Salmonidae
Exons: 2
Source: RefSeq, a predicted model, not a curated record